AUUCUCUGAGCCCAAAGGAAAUCUUAUCUUCGCUGUAAGAUGGACCCGCGGCGCAUCUAGCUUGUCUGGUGAGGUAACGGCUCACCAAGGCUCUCGAUGCGUAGCCGACCUGAGAGGGUGAUCGGCCACUCUGGAACUGAGACACGGUCCAGACUCCUACGGGAGGCAGCAGUGGGGAAUAUUGCACAUGGAGGAAACUCUGAUGCAGCAACGCCGCGUGAGUGAUGAAGGUCUUCGGAUCGUAAAACUCUGUCUUAUGGGACGAUAAUGACGGUACCAUAGGAGGAAGCCACGGCUAACUACGUGCCAGCAGCCGCGGUAAUACGUAGGUGGCAAGCGUUGUCCGGAUUUACUGGGCGUAAAGGAUGUGUAGGCGGAUAUUUAAGUGAGAUGUGAAAUCCCCGGGCUUAACCUGGGGGCUGCAUUUCAAACUGGAUGUCUAGAGUGCAGGAGAGGAAAGCAGACUUCCUAGUGUAGCGGUGAAAUGC
This 488-nucleotide ribosomal RNA is filed under the name uncultured Clostridium sp. RNAcentral's name for it is "bacterial SSU rRNA". It matches the Rfam family "Bacterial small subunit ribosomal RNA", at positions 190 to 689 of the family's 1533-position model. Lineage: Bacteria; Bacillati; Bacillota; Clostridia; Eubacteriales; Clostridiaceae. The record is from RNAcentral.